UAGGACAUAGCUCAAUGGCACAGCACCUGCCUGGCAAACAUGAGGUCCUGAGUUUGAUUCCCAGUAUCAAAA
Molecule: transfer RNA, 72 nt
Filed under: Cavia porcellus (domestic guinea pig)
Lineage: Eukaryota; Metazoa; Chordata; Mammalia; Rodentia; Caviidae
Rfam family: tRNA
About the family: Transfer RNA (tRNA) molecules are approximately 80 nucleotides in length. Their secondary structure includes four short double-helical elements and three loops (D, anti-codon, and T loops).
Source: Rfam by way of RNAcentral